Molecule: ribosomal RNA, 454 nt
Filed under: uncultured bacterium
Lineage: Bacteria
Description: partial 16S ribosomal RNA
Rfam family: Bacterial small subunit ribosomal RNA
Source: RNAcentral
GAUGAACGCUGACAGAAUGCUUAACACAUGCAAGUCUACUUGAACUUCGGUUUGGGUGGCGGACGGGUGAGUAACGCGUAAAGAACUUGCCUCACAGAUAGGGACAACAUUUGGAAACGAAUGCUAAUACCUGAUAUUAUGAUUUUAGGGCAUCCUAGAAUUAUGAAAGCUAUAUGCACUGUGAGAGAGCUUUGCGUCCCAUUAGCUAGUUGGAGAGGUAACGGCUCACCAAGGCGAUGAUGGGUAGCCGGCCUGAGAGGGUGAUCGGCCACAAGGGGACUGAGACACGGACCUUACUCCUACGGGAGGCAGCAGUGGGGAAUAUUGGACAAUGGACCAAGAGUCUGAUCCAGCAAUUCUGUGUGCACGAUGAAGUUUUUCGGAAUGUAAAGGGCUUUCAGUUGGGAAGAAAAAAAUGACGGUACCAACAGAAGAAGUGACGGCUAAAUACGUG